This 251-nucleotide ribosomal RNA is filed under the name uncultured bacterium. Its description in RNAcentral is "partial 16S ribosomal RNA". It matches the Rfam family "Bacterial small subunit ribosomal RNA", at positions 524 to 774 of the family's 1533-position model. The record is from RNAcentral.
UACGUAGGUGGCAAGCGUUAUCCGGAUUUACUGGGUGUAAAGGGAGCGUAGACGGCAGGGCAAGUCUGGAGUGAAAGCCCGGGGCCCAACCCCGGGACUGCUUUGGAAACUGCCAUGCUAGAGUGCUGGAGAGGUAAGCGGAAUUCCUAGUGUAGCGGUGAAAUGCGUAGAUAUUAGGAGGAACACCAGUGGCGAAGGCGGCUUACUGGACAGUAACUGACGUUGAGGCUCGAAAGCGUGGGGAGCAAACA